This 851-nucleotide ribosomal RNA is filed under the name uncultured Streptococcus sp. Its description in RNAcentral is "bacterial SSU rRNA". It matches the Rfam family "Bacterial small subunit ribosomal RNA", at positions 43 to 879 of the family's 1533-position model. Lineage: Bacteria; Bacillati; Bacillota; Bacilli; Lactobacillales; Streptococcaceae. The record is from RNAcentral.
CGUGCUAAUACAUGCAAGUAGAACGCUGAAGGAGGAGCUUGCUCUUCUGGAAGAGUUGCGAACGGGUGAGUAACGCGUAGGUAACCUGCCUGGUAGCGGGGGAUAACUAUUGGAAACGAUAGCUAAUACCGCAUAAGAUUGAAUAUCGCAUGAUAAUUGAUUAAAAGAUGCAAAUGCAUCACUACCAGAUGGACCUGCGUUGUAUUAGCUAGUAGGUGAGGUAACGGCUCACCUAGGCGACGAUACAUAGCCGACCUGAGAGGGUGAUCGGCCACACUGGGACUGAAACACGGCCCAGACUCCUACGGGAGGCAGCAGUAGGGAAUCUUCGGCAAUGGGGGCAACCCUGACCGAGCAACGCCGCGUGAGUGAAGAAGGUUUUCGGAUCGUAAAGCUCUGUUGUAAGAGAAGAACGAGUGUGAGAGUGGAAAGUUCACACUGUGACGGUAUCUUACCAGAAAGGGACGGCUAACUACGUGCCAGCAGCCGCGGUAAUACGUAGGUCCCGAGCGUUGUCCGGAUUUAUUGGGCGUAAAGCGAGCGCAGGCGGUUAGAUAAGUCUGAAGUUAAAGGCUGUGGCUUAACCAUAGUACGCUUUGGAAACUGUUUAACUUGAGUGCAGAAGGGGAGAGUGGAAUUCCAUGUGUAGCGGUGAAAUGCGUAGAUAUAUGGAGGAACACCGGUGGCGAAAGCGGCUCUCUGGUCAGUAACUGACGCUGAGGCUCGAAAGCGUGGGGAGCGAACAGGAUUAGAUACCCUGGUAGUCCACGCCGUAAACGAUGAGUGCUAGGUGUUAGGCCCUUUCCGGGGCUUAGUGCCGUAGCUAACGCAUUAAGCACUCCGCCUGGGGA